This is a long non-coding RNA of Topomyia yanbarensis, 4789 nucleotides long. RefSeq lists it as uncharacterized. NCBI's taxonomy places the organism in Eukaryota, Metazoa, Arthropoda, Insecta, Diptera, Culicidae. The transcript has 5 exons. The record is from RefSeq and is a predicted model, not a curated record.
GGUUUGUCCGGAAUUUCCAUUCAAAGUGGAUUUUGACAGUUGGCUUUUAGGCCGUAAUCAUAUGUUUGUCGAGACUUUAACGUUUAUCCCUCAACUCUUUGCAUAAUAUGCUAGUUAAAACCACCGUCUUUCGAUCUGUACUGUAAAAUUAGUGAAAAGUAUUAUAGUGACGCCGUAAAAAUCGAAAGAGAAAGUAAACAAAGAGAGUAGCUCAUUGCAGAUGUGUCUUUUUGAAAAAACGCUCAAGAUUUAAUGUUCGAAGCGAUUGAGCAUUGCAUGAAAAUGUGAAGCUCGACCAUCUGUUUCUCUUCUACGUGCGCCAACGAAUCGGGAUGUGCAAAGUCAGAGGCUUACGUUUUAUUGCAUGAAAUACGAUAGUAAAGUUUUUCAUAAAUGCACUACACAUUCAAAACUAAAGACAAUCAAACGAUUUUCGUCGAGCAUUUCCUGGAACAACGCAUAUUUUUAGUUAAAAAUGCACAACCUUCGAUUCUUCGUCCUCCAGUUAUGCAUGGUUCCAUUACCGAUAAAGCUGGUGCCCAAGAAAACGUUCUUAGUUUGAUGUUGAAAGCGAUUUCCUACGACAGCGUGAAAGUAACGUCGAAUCUCGUGCUUUGGUUUAUUCUCCGGGAAUAAGUUCACCUAACGUAGUCGCAUCACUCAAUAAACGCAAUACGGCAAAUCUGGAUAUACCGACGUUGAAAGUCAAGUUAAUAGUAUUCCGGAACCAUCAUAUGCAUAGGAGAAAGUAGGGCGCUUGAGUCGCUGGCAGCACAUCCAGUUAAUGAAGGAGCAUUUCUGGAAACGUUGGUCAGCAGAAUAUCUGCAUCAUUUACAAUCCCAGCCCAAGUGGAACGGCGGAGUAACCAAAAUCGAAGUAGGAGCACUCGUCGUACUCAAGGAUGAAAACGCUCCACCCCAUAGAUGGCAUAUCGGACGGAUUAUUGCCACUCACCCAGGAGACAAGGAUGUAGUACGAGUUGUGACCGUUAAGACAUCAUCUGGCGAAUAUCGACGAGCCAUCACAAAAAUCUAUCUACUUCCGUCGGUUGAUCCAGUGGAGUCAACGGGGGGAGAAUGAUCGCGCAAACUAAUUAAUAUCGAAUCGCCCCUCGGCAGCGAUAUAGAGUAAAAGAGAGAGAGAGAGAGAGCAAUCAGUUAUAGUAUACGUUUUGAACUAUACGCACGCAAUCUUUAAUUUAAUCCGCGAAAACUGUCCAUGUGCCACUUCAAGAGCUAUCGAAUAAAACAAAGGGUAUGUUCAAGAACUGCGUAACACGCAUCCAAUAAUCUUGUUUUGGAGAGACAAUAAAUCCUAAAAUUAAAAACAACAAGCCGAGAAAAACGCUCUUCAUAAUAUACUUUUUCAUUGAGCCAUACAAAUUGGGCACCCUUGUUUUAGUAGUUUUCUAAAAGUAGAUUUAUUCCGGAGUAGUUGUAUUCCGGAGUGCAAAGGUUUUUCCAACAGAAAUGCGAAUGGUACUUCUUUCGUAUAGCAGUGGACUGUACUUUACUUAACCAUGCAGCGUAGCAAAGCGAAAUUUGAUUCCCCAAGUGGAAUCCGAACAUGCAGUGAAAGUUCCCAAGCGAAUCAUCACAAUAUGUGCUGCCUUCAUGCAGUCGGUAAUGACGAAAAAACCACUCGAUGCGCAAUACACACACUUAUUAGUGGAACGAAGGGCUUUCGGCUGGAGACACAUUUAUACACACACUGUCUACUUUACUCCAUUAUAUUUUUCUUCUUAUUUCUAUUUUACACUUAUUUGUUUUCUUCGACCGAUCUCGGUCUGCUUUCUGCUUCUGCUCGCUUUGAAGUUCACCACGUUAUUGAUGCCGCUCGGACCGCAGCAGUAGUUUUAUAUUUUCGUUGUGUGCUGUUUCACUUCGGUGCGAGACACAAACUGCUGUGGCUUGCCCGCUUCUCUUCCGUUCGUUUUCAUGCUGCAUCGAUUGCAAAGAUGCUUGAAGGAAGGUGCGCUACAAGCAGUUAACGCGCUGCUUUUAAACUCGCGCAACGUUAACAAAAUUAUACAAAAAUUAGAGGAUCAGUUCGGAAGCAUCGAGCUGAUAUAUUCAGGCCUUCUACGAGACGUGCUAGAAAUUAGGAAUCCACGUUUCGAACAACCACAAACCAUGGUAGACUUCGUAUCUCGAAUUGGUAACCUCGUCACCAAUAUGGUUUGUUUGGGUCGUAAGGAAUACCUCAAUGACCAACGUUUAGUCCGUGAUUUAGUCAGCAGGUUGCCACAGGGACUGCACCUAAAAUGGCUAACUCACGUUAAUGACGAAACGGUGCUUUCAACCACCGCAAAUCUUUUUGUCGCUCCAACGGUAAGCGAUCUAUUUGAUUGGUUACAGCUCCAGCAAAAGCUAGCUACUAUGUUGAUAGCUGAGCGGGGGUUACAAGACGAUAAACCAGUUAGAACAGAAAAAUCUAACAGGAUUAAUUAUCACGCUACAAGCUACCAAAAGUGCUUGUUAUGCGAACUUGACCACAGGAUAAUUGAUUGUGGUAAAAUUGGAGAACUCUCUCCCGAACAACGGAGGCAGUUCGUUAAGGAGAAGAAUUUAUGCUCAUCGUGCUGCAGAUCAAAUCCUUCGGUAAAGAAUUGUAGAACCAAUAAAAUUUGUAACAUAAAAGGGAGCAAAAGUAGACACCACCAACUGUUACAUGUUAUAGCACAGGAAAAAAGGUCUGAUGAAAGCGACAAUGAAAAUAUUAAUUACCACCAUUCUGGUAAAACAAUCCAUUAUCAAAUAAUUCCCGUCACUCUUUAGAACGGACCGCAUGAAUUAGAAACCUUUGCCUUCGUGGAUACAGGGUCCUCCUCAGUAAGCCUAGUACAAAGUGACAUAGUAGAAAAACUACGUUUUAAAGGAAUUGAACGUCCUAUGACAUUGGCAUGGACGAAUGGUAAGAUUCAAAAAGAAAAAUCGAGUCAAGAAAUUCGUAUGAAAAUAAGAGGUCAGUUUGAUAAAACUUAUUCGUUAAAUGGCUUGAGAACGAUAAAGCAAUUAUCGUUACCUACUCAAACUCUAGCGCGAGACAAACUGAUUAACAAAUACUCUUACUUAGAAAGUACAGAGUUACCGCAUUAUGAAAAUGCAACUCGUACAUUAUUACUUGGAUUGCCCCAUGCUUACUUAAUGACUGGACUAGAGGAAAAAUCCAGAGGGUUCAAUGAACCGGGGGGCUAAGAAAACUAAAUUAGGUUGGGUUCUUCAUGGCGUAACACAACGUGGAAAGUUUUCGCCAAAGCAUGAUGUAGGUCAUAAAAGGGAAAACAAAAAAGAAAUGAUCCUAAGUCAUUUCUGUAUUAAAUCUGUCAGGGUCAAGGAACCUGAGAAGCCGUUCAUCUCAAAGGGCGAUGAACAGGCAAAGAGAACAAAGUAUGACGAUACUUCAGGUCGUCUUCAGAGGUCGGAACAAGGGUUAGGUAGAAAGCCCUACCGACAAACAAAACAGAAAAAAAUAUUUUAAAAACAAAUAUUCAAAUUUUGAGAUGAAACAAGUCUUGUCGGGCGUUGACCCACAGAUUUAUACUUUAUCGACAACACGUGUUUUGUCAACACACCCUAAAAAUGUUAGGAAUAAAAAUAAGGCGAAUGGAAAAUUGAAUUACCAUAAAAUUGAAGACAACAAACAAAAGUCCAAAACGAGAGAGAAAACAAAGAGAGACAUCGCCAUAAAUAGACAAAUUAGGUUGGGUAUUGGAAUUUCUAGAACUAGAUCAUAUAAUAGAUCAGCAGUAAAAUUAGUGGGAUCGGAUUUCAAUCCUCCAAACAAAAAUCAGCCGAAGCUUAUCCGGAAAAAGAACCCGGCGCUUAAGCAGGUACCUUUUCCGCAAAACAUAAAUAACGAAGGGUACAAGAAACACUUCGUCGGGACAUUGAAUCAAAUAAAAGAACCUUAUGUCUACCGCACACGCAAGCGGGAGACAUCGGGAAAACUAAACAAAUGGUGGAAGAAAUACUACCACCAAACUCUAGGAAAAUGAAGAGCAUAACUAGACCUCGUACAUGGAUCAAAGCACUUCCAAGUAGGUGCGCUGAUACUCUUCAUAUCAGUAGAUCAAGUGCUAACCUGACGUUUAAUGAACAGUUUCAAAGAACUUGUAGUUAAAUAGAAUAACAUCAUGAUUUACACCCAUAAGAACAAUACCAAGAUUUUUGCGCGGUAAAGCGAUAAUUUGAGUAAAGCACUAGGAUUAUUUACGGGCCCUGGAAUGUUGCCGCGCAAACGAGAUUGUUUUUCAUUGCCAGCCUUGUAUAAGAAAUGCUACGCGUAGGGAAGGUUGAUGUUGAUUUUAAAAUCCCGAAAAUGGAACGAAAAGAACACAGAAAAGGGAUCACUCUGUCUAUUUACCGACCUCCCGCGCCUAAUUUACAUAAGCGUGCCAUACGCAGUCCGAUUAGCUAGCUUUGGUUUUUCCUUCUCACUUGCUCUGCGGUUAGGAUAGUAAUAAAAUCUUAGAAAGCGGUACAAAUGUAACCGCAUACUUUGUGAGCCCUUACGGGACUGGACUAGGAUUGAAUAGCAGGAAUCCGUAUUGUGGUUAAAUACGUCAGUCUUGAAGUGGCAGGGCCAAAUAUAUAAGUAAACAAAUAGGAAUUGCGCCCUUCUAAGGGCAUAGGAAAUCUACGCCGAAUCUCAGGAGAAUAGGGAAAAACUUAAGGACUAAAAGGGACAAAUUUUCCCGUAGUGAUAUAUGGAUCGCGCGGGCAACAUGUAGCUUUAAGAUAACGUUUGUAAAUAUUUUCUGAAUAAAUUAAGUUUCAAAGUUUUAAA